This 1017-nucleotide long non-coding RNA is filed under the name Anas platyrhynchos platyrhynchos (common mallard). RNAcentral describes it as "lncRNA (ENSAPLG00000027361.1)". Lineage: Eukaryota; Metazoa; Chordata; Aves; Anseriformes; Anatidae. The record is from RNAcentral.
GCAGCGCUCCCCCCCGCAGCGCUCCUCGCUCAGGGUGACGGCGCGGCCGCGGGACAGGAAGGUGACGGUGACAUCGGGGACCCCCGGCACCGCGCAGCCGCGCUCCUCCCGCCGCAACACGCGGCCCGACGCUGGGGGCGGGGUCAGGGGUCAAGGGUCAAGGGUUGGGGGCAGGGGGUCAGGGGUCAAGGGUGUGGGAGGAGGGGACAGGGGUCGGGAUGUGGGGUCAGGGGUUGGGGACGUGGGGGUGGAGGAUGGGGACGUGGGGUCAGAGGUCAGGGGUCAAGGACUUGGGGUUAGGGGUUAGGGGUCAGAGACUUGGGGUCAGGGGUCAGGGGUCAAGGAUGUGGGGUUGGAGGUUGGGGACGUGGGGUCGGGGUCAGGGAUUUGGGGUCAGAGGUCAGGGGUCAGGGACUGGGGACACAGGGUCAGAGGUCAGGGAUAGGGGAUGGGAGGUCAGAGAUCAGGGCUUGGGGACGUGAGGUCAGAGGUCAGGGGUCACCAGGAGGUCAGGGGUCAGAGGUCAGGGGUUGGAGGUCAGGGGUCAGAGGUCAGAGGUUAAAGGUCAGAGGUCAGGGGUCGGGGUCAGGGGUCAGAGGUCAGGGGUCAGAGGUCAGAGGUUAAAGGUCGGAGGUCAGGGGUCGGGGGUCAGAGGUCGGGGGUCAGAGGUCAGGGGUCAGAGGUCAGAGGUCAAAGGUCGGAGGUCAGGGGUCAAAGGUCGGAGGUCAGGGGUCAGAGGUCAAAGGUCGGAGGUCAGGGGUCAGAGGUUAAAGGUCGGAGGUCAGGGGUCGGGGGUCAGAGGUCGGGGGUCAGAGGUCAGGGGUCAGAGGUCAGAGGUCAAAGGUCGGAGGUCAGGGGUCAAAGGUCGGAGGUCAGGGGUCAGAGGUCAAAGGUCGGAGGUCAGGGGUCAGAGGUUAAAGGUUGGAGGUCAAAGGUCAGGGGUCGGAGGUCAGAGGUCAGGGGUCGGAGGUCAAAGGUCGGAGGUCAGGUGUCAGAGGUUAAAGGUCAGAGGUCAGA